UUGCAAAAUGAUGUGUCUCCUACUGUAACUUUCCAUUUACUAGUACGAGAACUCGAAGACAUGAAAAUUCUCAAUUCUCUACGAUGUCUAGUAGAUAGAUAGACUAUUUUCAGGAACAAGUAAAUCUCAGGAAUCUUUCUCUCUAUUCACUAUCAUUCCGCGUCUUUAACUUCUAUUAGUUUCUUUUCUUCUUUAAUGCAGUAG
RNAcentral lists this ribosomal RNA (204 nucleotides) under Triticum aestivum (bread wheat). Its description in RNAcentral is "partial small subunit ribosomal RNA". Lineage: Eukaryota; Viridiplantae; Streptophyta; Magnoliopsida; Poales; Poaceae. The record is from RNAcentral.